This 424-nucleotide ribosomal RNA is filed under the name uncultured bacterium. Its description in RNAcentral is "bacterial SSU rRNA". It matches the Rfam family "Bacterial small subunit ribosomal RNA", at positions 355 to 776 of the family's 1533-position model. The record is from RNAcentral.
UGAGGAAUAUUGGUCAAUGGGCGAGAGCCUGAACCAGCCAAGUAGCGUGCAGGAUGACGGCCCUAUGGGUUGUAAACUGCUUUUAUACGGGGAUAAAGUGAGCCACGUGUGACUUAUUGCAGGUACCGUAUGAAUAAGGACCGGCUAAUUCCGUGCCAGCAGCCGCGGUAAUACGGAAGGUCCGGGCGUUAUCCGGAUUUAUUGGGUUUAAAGGGAGCGUAGGCCGUCUGUUAAGCGUGUUGUGAAAUGUCGGGGCUCAACCUGGGCAUUGCAGCGCGAACUGGCAGACUUGAGUGCACGGGAAGUAGGCGGAAUUCGUCGUGUAGCGGUGAAAUGCUUAGAUAUGACGAAGAACUCCGAUUGCGAAGGCAGCCUGCUGUAGUGCAACUGACGCUGAAGCUCGAAAGCGUGGGUAUCGAACAGG